CACGUAGGGUGCGAGCGUUGUCCGGAAUUACUGGGCGUAAAGGGCGCGUAGGCGGCGACUCAAGUUAGAUGUGAAAGUCCUGGGCUUAACCUGGGGACUGCAUUUGAUACUGGGUUGCUUGAAUUCGGGAGAGGAUAGCGGAAUUCCCAGUGUAGAGGUGAAAUUCGUAGAUAUUGGGAAGAACACCGGUGGCGAAGGCGGCUAUCUGGACCGACAUUGACGCUGAGGCGCGAAAGCGUGGGGAGCAAACAGG
This 253-nucleotide ribosomal RNA is filed under the name uncultured bacterium. RNAcentral describes it as "partial 16S ribosomal RNA". It matches the Rfam family "Bacterial small subunit ribosomal RNA", at positions 524 to 776 of the family's 1533-position model. The record is from RNAcentral.